This 93-nucleotide ribosomal RNA is filed under the name Weissella oryzae SG25. Lineage: Bacteria; Bacillati; Bacillota; Bacilli; Lactobacillales; Lactobacillaceae. The record is from RNAcentral.
CACCUGUUCCCAUACCGAACACAGAAGUUAAGCUCAGUAGCGCCAAAAGUAGUUGGAGGAUCGCCUCCUGCGAGGAUAGGACAUCGCGAUGCA